GUACUCAUUUUGGCCGCACAUGUACCAAAAUUGGAAUAAUACAGGGCAGAUUAGCUUGACCCCUACACAAGGAUGACUCAAAUUGAAGCAUUGCAUAUUUUU
Small nuclear RNA from Myotis lucifugus (little brown bat), 102 nucleotides. The record is from Ensembl. Lineage: Eukaryota; Metazoa; Chordata; Mammalia; Chiroptera; Vespertilionidae.